CCUUGUUCUGCUUUGGGGCUGGGGCAGGAGGCUGCCCUCCAAGAAUGGGGGGCUGUGUCUCCAGGAGGUCCCCUGGGGCUGUCAGAUGCGAUGGGCAAGAUGCAAAUUGCAGCUGCAAAGUCCUAACCCAGCAGCUGGGCUGUGUCAGGAAGAACCACGUCAGCUGUGCCCAGACGCUGAAAAUGCUCCAUCAUCUUCAGGCUGGCUUUGCUUUCGGCAGGCAGCAGGACCGAGCCAAACUCUCAGCAGAGAAUCCAGCAGGAGAAGCAACCUUUCCAGGGCUCUUUCACUGAACUCCAGCGUCCUCGUUCCUCCUCAUACCCCGUGCCACAGCAGCUGAUGCUGUUCUGGGCUCUGCACAGAGGCAGGGGUGAGCACCAAGGAGCUCACAGCUGGGGCUGGGAGCAAGUGGCACAGCCCCGUUUCAGAGAAAGAGUGGAGGGAAUCAGUGCGCAGAAGGAUUAAGGUCUGAAAGGACUCCUGGCAGAGCCGGGAAUCAGCUGAAUUAGUCUGCAAGAGGCCAAGAAAAGGUAUGGAAGUGGUCCAGAGGGGGAAGCAAUGUCUGUAUGCAAUAAUCUGAGCUAUAAAUGAAGUCAAAAACCACAGAACUGAUCUUUUGCUAAACCUCAGGUCCGAUUCCCCAGCUUUGACUGAAGGUUGGAUUUUGUCCCAUAUCCCUAGUGGAAGAAACCUGUCUUCGUACAGGAGCAGAUUUUAAAUUUGUGGGGAUUACUCUGACUGCCUGGUCCAGUCCCCUGUGAUACCAUGACAAGAGGAUCCUGCUCAGUGUCCUGUGAGUGAAAGCUGUAGUCCUUGGUUACAGACAAGGAAGGAAGGAUAUCCUGCAGGGCUUCCAUAUUCCAAUUUUAUUCAGGAUUUUGGAUUUGAAAUUGCCCAUUUUCAACUCCUGACAUUUGAUCUUGCGCUCUUGUCUUCCAGCUUACAGUGCCAUCCAACUUGACCAAGCUUCUGCAGGCACCAAAAGAAGGUUUUUCCAAGCCUCUUGGAGCUAUUUUUUAAAGCUGAUUCCCAUCUGUCAACAUCUCUUGUGAAGUGGAGCCAAGUGUUUUGGCCGCAGCAUCUGGCAGUGGAGCCCAUUGCUGGCUUGGUUUUGUCCAGCGCCUUGGGAGGACGAGUGAUGCGGUGACCACCCACCGCUGUGAUCGCCCUCACCCAGGGCUGAUGCUUUCCCAGAGGUUCCUGCAGGGACUUUUCAGACAGCUCGAGGCUGACUGUGGAGCUCUUGCCCUCAUUUGGCCAGGACUGCUGUGCCUCCAGCCUGUUUUGAAGAACAGAGGCAUGGAUGAUGCCCACAGGAGGCACAGCUAAAGCAUGGUUACAGUCUCCCAUCCCUCAUUUCCUGCUGCAAAGGCUACAGCACAUCUCCAAAGCAAAGGCAGUGUUACUCUUCUAAUGAAUCCUGAAAUCCUGAGCCUCGCAGUUGCCCAGGAGGGCUCCAUCUCUGGUCAUUGAAACAUUCAGCUGGUGAAGUCAGAGCUAUUUUUGCUCUCUGUUGUGACAGGGUAAAUCUGCAGUCGUUCCUCUGACUUCAGUAGACUCGCUCUGAGAGAAGAGGUUUGUGCAACCUAAUUAUCUUCAGUGCCCAUAUUUGCAAUUUUUCUAUGCCCAGUCAUCACAGCGAGCACAGAGCUUUCAUACAGCCACAGGUUUUGGCAGACUCUGCCCGGAGAGCAGUUUGCCAUCUGCAGGUGCUGUCCUGGAGCACUUGCCUAGGAGCGACCGAAGGAUGGAGAGGGUCCGACCAGGGAGAGGAGCGGACAGUGCUGUGAAAACCCCAAAUCCACAAGGGCACAGCUGUGGCUUGUUGCAAUAUGUGCAGAACCUGGUGCACUGACCCAUUUCCUACUGCUCUUGUGGUCUGGUUAACCAUAAGAAAAGCAUUUUCCUGCUGCUCGCUGCUGGGUGGUGAAGGGGCAUCCCCAGGCCCAGGGACUGGAGGAGCAGGAGGGGAGGGCGGUAGCUGCUGAUACACGCGGGGCCUGGCGAAGUGCCCACACUUCACUCCCUCUCAGAGCGAUCGCUGCGAGGAGCUGAGGGUUUCACCACCUCCCCUCGUCGGCCUUCGCGCUGCACUUGACACCGGCGCAGGGGGAUUUACUUGUGCUUGAUGGCUGUCUCCACCGCGGAGCCGCCUGCCCCCCAGCAGGGCAUCGCAAGGAGGACGUGAUGUUCCCAGUGCCAGGCUGAGCACCAGAGCACCGCUAUCGGUGUGAUGUGGAGGUGUCCCCAUGGGAUGUGCCACCAGCUGGAGUGGUGGGACGCAGCAUCCCCCAGGCCAUCGUGGUCCCAAUAACUCCGGUCACCAGCCAGGGCUCUCCAGAUGAAGUCUGGGGCUCCUUGAGGGAGCCAGCUUGCCUUAGCCUCGGUGAGGAUGAGAAACUUCCCAAGAGG
Oxyura jamaicensis (ruddy duck) is the source of this 2412-nucleotide RNA transcript. RefSeq lists it as uncharacterized. The record is from RefSeq and is a predicted model, not a curated record. The transcript is spliced from 3 exons. Lineage: Eukaryota; Metazoa; Chordata; Aves; Anseriformes; Anatidae.